This 491-nucleotide ribosomal RNA is filed under the name uncultured bacterium. RNAcentral's name for it is "partial 16S ribosomal RNA". It matches the Rfam family "Bacterial small subunit ribosomal RNA", at positions 29 to 506 of the family's 1533-position model. The record is from RNAcentral.
AGUGAGCGCUGGCGGUAGGCCUAACACAUGCAAGUCGAACGGCAGCACAGUAAGAGCUUGCUCUUACGGGUGGCGAGUGGCGGACGGGUGAGGAAUACAUCGGAAUCUACUUUUUCGUGGGGGAUAACGUAGGGAAACUUACGCUAAUACCGCAUACGACCUACGGGUGAAAGCAGGGGAUCUUCGGACCUUGCGCGAUUGAAUGAGCCGAUGUCGGAUUAGCUAGUUGGCGGGGUAAAGGCCCACCAAGGCGACGAUCCGUAGCUGGUCUGAGAGGAUGAUCAGCCACACUGGAACUGAGACACGGUCCAGACUCCUACGGGAGGCAGCAGUGGGGAAUAUUGGACAAGGGGCGCAAGCCUGAUCCAGCCAUACCGCGUGGGUGAAGAAGGCCUGCGGGUUGUAAAGCCCUUUUGUUGGGAAAGAAAAGCAGCAGGUUAAUACCCCGCUGUUCGGACGGUACCCAAAGAAUAAGCACCGGCUAACUUCGU